RNAcentral lists this ribosomal RNA (596 nucleotides) under uncultured Microbacterium sp. Its description in RNAcentral is "bacterial SSU rRNA". It matches the Rfam family "Bacterial small subunit ribosomal RNA", at positions 868 to 1462 of the family's 1533-position model. Lineage: Bacteria; Bacillati; Actinomycetota; Actinomycetes; Micrococcales; Microbacteriaceae. The record is from RNAcentral.
CCCGCCUGGGGAGUACGGCCGCAAGGCUAAAACUCAAAGGAAUUGACGGGGACCCGCACAAGCGGCGGAGCAUGCGGAUUAAUUCGAUGCAACGCGAAGAACCUUACCAAGGCCUGACAUACACGAGAACGCUGCAGAAAUGUAGAACUCUUUGGACACUCGUGAACAGGUGGUGCAUGGUUGUCGUCAGCUCGUGUCGUGAGAUGUUGGGUUAAGUCCCGCAACGAGCGCAACCCUCGUUCUAUGUUGCCAGCACGUAAUGGUGGGAACUCAUGGGAUACUGCCGGGGUCAUCUCGGAGGAAGGUGGGGAUGACGUCAAAUCAUCAUGCCCCUUAUGUCUUGGGCUUCACGCAUGCUACAAUGUCCGGUACAAAGGGCUGCAAUACCGCAAGGUGGAGCGAAUCCCAAAAAGCCGGUCCCAGUUCGGAUUGAGGUCUGCAACUCGACCUCAUGAAGUCGGAGUCGCUAGUAAUCGCAGAUCAGCAACGCUGCGGUGAAUACGUUCCCGGGUCUUGUACACACCGCCCGUCAAGUCAUGAAAGUCGGUAACACCUGAAGCCGGUGGCCCAACCCUUGUGGAGGGAGCCGUCGAAGG